UACGUAGGGUGCGAGCGUUGUCCGGAAUUAUUGGGCGUAAAGAGCUCGUAGGCGGUCUGUCGCGUCGGUCGUGAAAACUUACAGCUUAACUGUGAGCGUGCUUCCGAUACGGGCAGACUUGAGGUAUUCAGGGGAGAACGGAAUUCCUGGUGUAGCGGUGAAAUGCGCAGAUAUCAGGAGGAACACCGGUGGCGAAGGCGGUUCUCUGGGAAUAUCCUGACGCUGAGGAGCGAAAGUGUGGGGAGCGAACAGG
This 253-nucleotide ribosomal RNA is filed under the name uncultured bacterium. RNAcentral's name for it is "partial 16S ribosomal RNA". It matches the Rfam family "Bacterial small subunit ribosomal RNA", at positions 524 to 776 of the family's 1533-position model. The record is from RNAcentral.